CCAGACUCCUACGGGAGGCAGCAGUGGGGGAUAUUGCACAAUGGGGGAAACCCUGAUGCAGCGACGCCGCGUGGGUGAGGAAGUAUUUCGGUAUGUAAAGCCCUAUCAGCAGGGAAGAAGAUGACAGUACCUGACUAAGAAGCCCCGGCUAACUACGUGCCAGCAGCCGCGGUAAUACGUAUGGAGCAAGCGUUAUCCGGAUUUACUGGGUGUAAAGGGAGCGUAGGCGGCCUGCCAAGUCUGAUGUGAAAUACCGGGGCUCAACCCCGGGGCUGCAUUGGAAACUGGCAGGCUGGAGUGUCGGAGAGGCAGGCGGAAUUCCUAGUGUAGCGGUGAAAUGCGUAGAUAUUAGGAGGAACACCAGUGGCGAAGGCGGCCUGCUGGACGAUGACUGACGCUGAGGCUCGAAAGCGUGGGGAGCAAACAGGAUUAGAUACCCGCGUA
RNAcentral lists this ribosomal RNA (444 nucleotides) under uncultured bacterium. Its description in RNAcentral is "partial 16S ribosomal RNA". It matches the Rfam family "Bacterial small subunit ribosomal RNA", at positions 331 to 792 of the family's 1533-position model. The record is from RNAcentral.